Molecule: ribosomal RNA, 469 nt
Filed under: uncultured bacterium
Lineage: Bacteria
Description: partial 16S ribosomal RNA
Rfam family: Bacterial small subunit ribosomal RNA
Source: RNAcentral
GACGAACGCUGGCGGCGUGCUUAACACAUGCAAGUCGAACGGCAAGGCCCUGCUUGCAGGGUGCUCGAGUGGCGAACGGGUGAGUAACACGUGGGUGCUCUGCCCCUUACUUUGGGAUAAGCCUGGGCAACUGGGUCUAAUACUGGAUAGGACCAUGCUGUAGGUGGUGUGGUGGAAAGAUUAGUUUCGGUAAGGGAUGAGCUCGGGGCCUAUCAGCGUGUUGGUAGGGUAGUGGCCUACCAAGGCGUCGACGGGUAGCCGGCCUGAGAGGGUGGACGGCAAGAUUGGGACUGAGAUGCGGGGCAGACGCCGACGGUAGGGAGCAGUGGGCAAUAGUGCACAAUGGGCGCAAGGCUGAGGCAACGACGCCGCGCGGGGGGUGACGGCCUUCGGGUUGGAAACUCCUUUCGGCCAUGACGAAGCCCUUGUGGUGACGGUAGUGGUAGAAGAAGCACCGGCUAACUACGUG